Molecule: ribosomal RNA, 327 nt
Filed under: Lohmannia banksi
Lineage: Eukaryota; Metazoa; Arthropoda; Arachnida; Sarcoptiformes; Lohmanniidae
Description: eukaryotic LSU rRNA
Rfam family: Eukaryotic large subunit ribosomal RNA
Source: RNAcentral
CCAAGGAGUCUAACAUGUGCGCGAGUCGCUCGGUCUUGAAUAGGCCAGAGGGGGCGCAAUGAAAGUAAAGUUGAUUGAGUUAUGAUCCUUGUCUUUUGCGAGGGUGCAGCAAUGUGCUCUCGGGGCGAGGCGCAAUAACAGCCCUCCUAAACUGCCCAUAUCGACAGUUGGGAGGAGUUUUAGCGUACACGUUGGUACCCGAAAGAUGGUGAACUAUGCCUGGGCAAGACGAAGCCAGAGGAAACUCUGGUGGAGGUCUGUAGCGAUUCUGACGUGCAAAUCGAUCGUCAGACCUGGGUAUAGGGGCGAAAGACUAAUCGAACCAUC